UGAAAAGAGAAAAAUUCAUGAGAAAAAGAAAAGAAAAGAAGAAAAGCAUGAAGAUGAGCUCAAUGAAAAAGAAAAGAAAAGGGAAGAAGUUGGGAAUGAGAGACAUUGGUGAGAGAGUUGUGCUUAAAUGUUGAAUAUUUUGUUAGCUCUCUUUACUCAAGGAUUUUGCAUUUUAGAAAAACCAAUUUUUCUUGUUAGCCCGACCUCAUUACAAGCCUUGAAAAAGUCCUUUUGAUGGCAUUUGCAUGUAAAGAUGCUGAUUGUUUGAGAUGAAUGGCAAUCUUGUUUCAUGUAACUUGU
Molecule: long non-coding RNA, 300 nt
Filed under: Vigna radiata
Lineage: Eukaryota; Viridiplantae; Streptophyta; Magnoliopsida; Fabales; Fabaceae
Description: long non-coding RNA (VRAD_LNC015588)
Source: RNAcentral